UACGUAGGGGGCAAGCGUUGUCCGGAUUUAUUGGGCGUAAAGAGCGUGUAGGCGGCCGCACAGGUCCGUUGUGAAAACUGGAGGCUCAACCUUCAGACGUCGAUGGAAACCGUGCGGCUAGAGUCCGGAAGAGGAGAGUGGAAUUCCUGGUGUAGCGGUGAAAUGCGCAGAUAUCAGGAAGAACACCCGUGGCGAAGGCGGUUCUCUGGGCAUGUCCUGACGCUGAGGAGCGAAAGUGUGGGGAGCGAACAGG
RNAcentral lists this ribosomal RNA (253 nucleotides) under uncultured bacterium. Its description in RNAcentral is "partial 16S ribosomal RNA". It matches the Rfam family "Bacterial small subunit ribosomal RNA", at positions 524 to 776 of the family's 1533-position model. The record is from RNAcentral.